UGCCAGCAGCCGCGGUAAUACGGAGGGGGCUAGCGUUGUUCGGAAUUACUGGGCGUAAAGCGCGCGUAGGCGGGCUGUUAAGUCGGGGGUGAAAUCCCGGGGCUCAACCCCGGAACUGCCCUCGAUACUGGCAGCCUAGAGGUCGAGAGAGGUGAGUGGAAUUCCGAGUGUAGAGGUGAAAUUCGUAGAUAUUCGGAGGAACACCGGUGGCGAAGGCGGCUUCCUGGACCGGUACUGACGCUGAGGUGCGAAAGUGUGGGGAGCAAACAGGAUUAGAUA
Molecule: ribosomal RNA, 279 nt
Filed under: uncultured bacterium
Lineage: Bacteria
Description: partial 16S ribosomal RNA
Rfam family: Bacterial small subunit ribosomal RNA
Source: RNAcentral